RNAcentral lists this long non-coding RNA (640 nucleotides) under Pongo abelii (Sumatran orangutan). Its description in RNAcentral is "lincRNA". Lineage: Eukaryota; Metazoa; Chordata; Mammalia; Primates; Hominidae. The record is from RNAcentral.
AAAAAAAGAAAGAGAGAAAGAAAAGAAAAGAGAAAGAGAAAGAAGGACUUCAGAGAAUCGUUCCGAGAAUUUUCUGGGAAAAUAUGCAACAGCAGGUCAUAAAACAGAUCUCACAGAGAUAUGUGAGAUCAAUAGAUAAUGUGCUUUGGGCCACACAAAACUUUACAAAAAUGUAUCUUAAAAUUUAAAAUAGGAAAAUAUUAUGUCAGAAUUCAAAUAGUGACUGAGGAAUAGAUAAAUGUGUCUAUCUACACAAUGGAAUAUUUUUCAGCCAUAAAAGGGAAUGAAUACAUGCUACAACAUGGGUGAACCUUGAAACAUGCUAAGUGAAAGAAGCCAGUCACAAAAGGAUAAAUAUGUAUAAGUCCCUUUGCGGGAGAGAUCUAAAACUAGGUGAAUCCAUAAAGACAGACAUCAGAUUGGUGGUUGCCAGGGGGCAAGGGGGAGGGGAGAACAGGAGUGACUGCUAACGGAUGUGGGGUUUCCUUUUGGAGUGAUAGGAAAGUUCUGGAAUGAGAUAGUAGUGAUGGCUGCAGAACAAUGUGAAUGUACUUAAUGACACUGAAUUGUACACUUUUAAAUGGUUACGAUGGUCAAUUUUAUGUGUAUUUGAUCAUAAUAAAAAGAAAUCUAGGCUGGG